CCAUUUCCCGGCAGAAAUCUGGAGAGCUCCACUCUACAGACUACAGUUCGCCUCAGGCCGAAGUGCCAAACUUCUACACAAAGACAGACAAAAUUACAAAUAACUCGCAAGAUCGUCUUUGUAUUCUCGUGUCGCUGGAACCUGCGGUUACGGAUUCACAAACUGAACCUGUGCUUGGCGACGAUUUCCGGUCAGGAUGAUGGGAAAACCAGUUCCCUAUCCGUCCUCUCCGGUCUGCACCCUACAGCGAUCGCUUCUCACUUUUGCCGCUUUAACCCUAAUUUCCUUCACUUAUGUCUCCUUCAAAUCUCUCCGUUUCCCACUUCAGUACGGGUCGGAUCUCUCGGAAAAUCCUCCUAAAGUUAAGGUCGUUGCAGAGGGAGAUUUUGUGGAACUUUCAGACAUCUAUCACUCUCCGAAGGUUUUCCUGCUGAAUUACGCGGAAAUGGAGAAGAACUUUAAAGUUUACAUAUAUCCCGAUGGAGAUCCCAAUACUUUUUACCAGACGCCGAGGAAGCUUACGGGAAAAUACGCAAGCGAGGGUUAUUUCUUCCAGAAUAUUAGAGAGAGCCGAUUUCGUACGGAUGAUCCAGAUCAGGCUGAUCUUUUCUUCAUUCCGAUUUCUUGUCACAAGAUGAGAGGAAAAGGCACAUCUUAUGAGAACAUGACGAUAAUUGUCCAAAAUUAUAUCGAAAGCCUAAUAUCGAAGUACCCUUACUGGAAUAGAACUCUGGGUGCCGAUCAUUUUUUUGUUACUUGUCAUGAUGUUGGUGUCAGGGCAACUGAAGGAGUUCCGUUACUUGUUAAGAAUUCAAUUAGAGUUGUCUGUUCUCCUAGCUAUGAUGUUGGAUUCAUUCCACACAAGGACGUAGCUCUCCCUCAAGUAUUGCAGCCAUUUGCUCUUCCAGCUGGUGGGAAUGACAUAGAAAAUAGGACAACUCUUGGCUUCUGGGCAGGUCAUCGCAAUUCUAAAAUAAGAGUUAUUUUAGCACAUGUGUGGGAGAAUGACACAGAACUUGAUAUCAUGAACAAUAGAAUAAACAGAGCCACUGGACAUCUGGUUUAUCAAAAGAGAUUUUACAAGACUAAGUACUGUAUAUGCCCUGGAGGUUCCCAGGUCAAUAGUGCUCGAAUAGCUGAUUCAAUUCAUUAUGGGUGUAUUCCAGUGAUACUAUCUAAUUAUUAUGACUUACCAUUUAAUGACAUCCUUGAUUGGCAUAAGUUUUCUGUCAUACUCAAUGAGCAAGAUGUGUACCAACUCAAGGACAUUCUCAAAGGCAUACCUGAUACAGAAUUUGUUACACUUCACAACAAUUUGGUCAAGGUUCAGAAGCAUUUCCAAUGGAAUACACCUCCUGUCAGAUUCGAUGCAUUCCAUAUGGUCAUGUACGACCUUUGGCUGCGUCACCGUGUCAUCAAAUACUGAAGUGUCGGAGAAUUCUAUAAUCCUUCUUGUACGCGUUGACGUUUCUGUGUCAGUCACAGUAAGAGCGACUUAUCUUGGUCCCACUGAUCCAGAAAGCUUGUAAUAUCAUUACAUACAAGUUUUUCUUUGAAUUCGUUUUGGGUGAAGAACUGAUCAGGAAUUCUGAACCUAGACUAAAUGAAACGGAAGAUCCACAAGCAAGUUGGUUUGGCAAGAAAUGGCCACGAGAUGAGCCGAUUGACGUAUGCCAACGUAUGUUGCGAUGGUAGAUAGACCUCCCUUCCUCACCAGAAGGUUAAGUUUAUGGAUUGCUUUUUUCAAUAUAACGUCACCGACCUGAUCAACGGCAUUUUGUUUGCCUUCUGCCAUGGAAUUGAUCCACUUUCCUUUUAACCAAAAGUAGCAUAUCGUCAUGCCACAUUCAGGGUCUGUUUUGACUUUUGAUAAUUGUUGAACCGAAAAAUAGAAAGCUGAAGUAAAAGGAGCUUGAAUAUAUCUAUAGAAAAAAAGCUUAAAUAUAGGGGUUGUUGGUGUAUGAUAUAAAGAACUAUUAUUAUAAAUUUAUAAUUGCAAAUUUGCAAUGUUGUGACAGUCACAAGUCGCAACAAUUUGUUUUU
Molecule: RNA transcript, 2043 nt
Organism: Nelumbo nucifera (sacred lotus)
Lineage: Eukaryota; Viridiplantae; Streptophyta; Magnoliopsida; Proteales; Nelumbonaceae
Gene name: Exostosin family protein
Source: RefSeq, a predicted model, not a curated record